CCUACGGGUGGCUGCAGUGAGGAAUAUUGGUCAAUGGACGCAAGUCUGAACCAGCCAUGCCGCGUGCAGGAUGACGGCUCUAUGAGUUGUAAACUGCUUUUGUCGGGGAGCAAAAGCCGGACGUGUCCGGCUGUGAGAGUACCCGAAGAAAAAGCAUCGGCUAACUCCGUGCCAGCAGCCGCGGUAAUACGGAGGAUGCGAGCGUUAGCCGGAUUUAUUGGGUUUAAAUGGUGCGCAGGCGGAUUUUUAAGUCAGCGGUCAAAUCGUGGGGCUCAACCCCAUCCAGCCGUUGAAACUGGGGAUCUAGAGUGUGCGAGAGGUAUGCGGAAUGCGUGGUGUAGCGGUGAAAUGCAUAGAUAUCACGCAGAACCCCGAUUGCGAAGGCAGCAUACCGGUGCACAACUGACGCUCAGGCACGAAAGCGUGGGUAUCGAACAGGAUUAGAUACCCUAGUAGUC
This 458-nucleotide ribosomal RNA is filed under the name uncultured bacterium. RNAcentral describes it as "partial 16S ribosomal RNA". It matches the Rfam family "Bacterial small subunit ribosomal RNA", at positions 338 to 795 of the family's 1533-position model. The record is from RNAcentral.